AUACUUACCUGGCAGGGAAGAUACCAUGAUCACGAAGGUGGUUUUUCCCAGCGUGGGGCUCAUCGAUUGCACUCCGGAUGUGCUGACCCCUGUGAUAUUCCCAAAUGUGGAAAACUCGACUGCAUAAUUUGUUGUAGUGGGGGACUGCAUUCGCGCUUUCCCCUG
Homo sapiens (human) is the source of this 165-nucleotide small nuclear RNA. NCBI's taxonomy places the organism in Eukaryota, Metazoa, Chordata, Mammalia, Primates, Hominidae. The record is from Ensembl.